GCGUAAAACUGUCCUUAUUGUCAUCCUAUCCAGCCUGUAAUCUCAUGCAGUUCGUAUUUUCGUGUAUCACACAGGCCACAAGUUCAAUAACAUGCAAUGAUUACGCCAAAGUAACAAUAAAUGGAAAAGCUGCAUUCAUUCCGACUGAUAAAUUAUUGUUUCGAAGCUAUUUUCUGCAAUUUCGCAGUAAUGUGUUCAUUAUUAAAAGAUAAAAUGAAGGUCAACGUUCCAUGUUUUGAAUUUCGCACCGCAACCUUAUAGCCACUACGUCAGUGUGACGUCACGGGUUUCCAAGUACUCCCUCGUACUUCGACCGCUGUGGCUCAGUAAAAGCCUUGAAAGCUGCCAAAUUAAAUCCUUGGCUCUUUUAGAAAACCAUGUGGUGCAUUUUUACGGAUAAAAAGUUAAUCAGUAGCGAGCAGACACCGGAAAUAUGUACGGCGUCUUGGAUGGCCUCCGAGACGAUCACCUCGGGGGCCAGGAUCUCGGGGACCAUGGUUCUGGAGAGCCCUGGUGCGCCACCUGUAUUCCGUUUUGUCAUAUUUUUUCGCUUCCCAAUCACCAUCUCACGGCAAAAAUGGCUUUUGUCUUUGGUAAUGUAGAAAGGUAAUUUACCAAUACAGCUAACAUUGUUUUUCACUCUAUUGUGCAUUUUAUGGACAACGCGUUUCACAAGCUACGCGGGUGCGAAUCAAUACCGCGGGACGUCGAAUCAGUGAUCUCACGAAGACGAAGGCGAUGCUUGAUGUUUCUCGAGAGAAGAAUGAUGAGGGAAAGUGUACGAAGAGAGAAGUACCACGGCAAACACAGUGGUAAGAUUGACGAUUAUUCGCCCAUUUCACUACAGCGCCUGUGACCAAAUGAAAACUGGCUUUUGUGUGCAAGUGCUCUCGCGUGCAGGUGCUAGGCAAUGCGAAGCACGCGCCAAUCGCCUGGAAGAGCUACUUGGCGUUGGCACGAGAAAAGUAUGCCUGCGGCCUAUUUGUUGGAGCAUUAGCCUGUUGUGCUAGGAGACUGAGGUUUUUGAUACCGCCAUUGGACAUGUGAUUUUUAUUUUCUCUGUGUGGCUACAGUCGGCAAAGUCUCGGAGGACUCACUGAAACCGUAGCUUUGUAAAUUCAUCCUGGUCUGUGAAUGAAACGCAGGACCAACGCCUUUUCAGAGCGGUCACUUCACAUUCAUUAAAGGGGCUCCGGAACAAUA
RNAcentral lists this long non-coding RNA (1203 nucleotides) under Dermacentor andersoni. Its description in RNAcentral is "uncharacterized LOC126521849". Lineage: Eukaryota; Metazoa; Arthropoda; Arachnida; Ixodida; Ixodidae. The record is from RNAcentral.